UCUGGCUUCCUUGAGGAGGAAAGUUGGAAGGAGAAAGAAGGACAGGAAGAGUGAAGGGAGAAAGGACAGAAGAUAACUUGAUUUCCCUAAAACAUUUGAUAUAUAAGAACUACAACUUGAACUGUUACACUUCCUUACUUUGAAGAGAAUUCUUGGGCUAUAUGUAAUUGCCUAUAUGAGUCCAGUAAAGCUUGAUCUUUAUUGGUUUUCAAAUUGUUUAUCCUUUUCCCAACAAACCCUGUCCUGGCAGACAUUCUCCAGCAGGUGCAGAGUUAGUUCUCUCUCCCUGUGGGGUUAAGAGCAAAGGCAGCCAGACUGUUUAGUGGUUGGGAUGCUGCUGCCUAGCAACGGAACUCAAGUUGUGAUUCCCAAGGAGAAUACUGAUAAUCAGGAAGAAAGGAAUAAGCUGAAUUCAGCAGCUUCUCUCUAGUGGUAGGAACUGGAUUCAUCAGGGCAACUUUCCUAAUAGGAGAGAAAAAGAAAUGGGUCAACGUGGAGCAUGGAUGGAGGAAAGAUACUACCACCUUCAUUACCAUAUGGAAGCAAGUUUGAUCAGCAGGGCAACCAAGAUAUCCACCAGAUCUCCUUUGUUUUGCAAUAUCAUCAGUUACAUAUAACAGUCUCAUACCAAAGGAGUUGGGAAGUUGAUCCCAGUGCAUGGUACCCCUGGAUGGUUCCCAAGAGAGAUCGAUGUGAGGGCAGAUGUGAUUCAAGACCGUGGCACUCUCUCCAAAGGACAAUGUAAACAGCUGUUCAAGAAGAGUGGCAUCUGGCAUCAGCCCUACUCCCAGGUGAGCAGGUGGGAGUGAGAAGAUCACAAAAGGGUGGAUUAAGAGAUUGAGAAAGAUGACCAUUUUAUUCCUUUUCAGGAGUCUCACUAAAGAGUUAUGCUACUCUUCCAUCUAGGUGCCAAAGAGGCUAGGGUGCUAAGCCUGCAGUCAGGAAGACCUAAGUUUUCAUUCUGCCUCUAAUACUUAUGUGCCCUAUGACCCUGGGCAAAUGACAACCUUUCACAGCCUUAGUUUCUUCGUUUGCAUCGUGGAGAUAACAAAAAAACAACUACACAGGGUUGUUUUCAGGAUCAAAAGGGUCA
Molecule: long non-coding RNA, 1093 nt
Filed under: Monodelphis domestica (gray short-tailed opossum)
Lineage: Eukaryota; Metazoa; Chordata; Mammalia; Didelphimorphia; Didelphidae
Description: lncRNA (ENSMODG00000046317.1)
Source: RNAcentral